AAAAAUUUAGUUAAAAAAUAACAUUAGCUUGUCAGGCUAAAAUUACUUAUUAAGUAGUUUUUA
RNAcentral lists this transfer RNA (63 nucleotides) under Papunya picta. RNAcentral's name for it is "tRNA-Asp". The record is from RNAcentral. Lineage: Eukaryota; Metazoa; Arthropoda; Insecta; Coleoptera; Cerambycidae.